Molecule: ribosomal RNA, 253 nt
Filed under: uncultured bacterium
Lineage: Bacteria
Description: partial 16S ribosomal RNA
Rfam family: Bacterial small subunit ribosomal RNA
Source: RNAcentral
UACGUGGGGGGCUAGCGUUGUCCGGAAUCAUUGGGCGUAAAGAGCGUGUAGGCGGCCCGGUAAGUCCGCUGUGAAAGUCGGGGGCUCAACCCUCGAAUGCCGGUGGAUACUGUCGGGCUAGAGUGCGGAAGAGGCGAGUGGAAUUCCUGGUGUAGCGGUGAAAUGCGCAGAUAUCAGGAGGAACACCGAUUGCGAAGGCAGCUCGCUGGGACGUAACUGACGCUGAGACGCGAAAGCGUGGGGAGCAAACAGG